This 253-nucleotide ribosomal RNA is filed under the name uncultured bacterium. RNAcentral describes it as "partial 16S ribosomal RNA". It matches the Rfam family "Bacterial small subunit ribosomal RNA", at positions 524 to 776 of the family's 1533-position model. The record is from RNAcentral.
UACAGAGGUCUCAAGCGUUGUUCGGAUUCAUUGGGCGUAAAGGGUGCGUAGGCGGCGCGGUAAGUCGGGUGUGAAAUCUCGGAGCUUAACUCCGAAACUGCAUUCGAUACUGCCGUGCUUGAGGACUGGAGAGGAGACUGGAAUUUACGGUGUAGCGGUGAAAUGCGUAGAUAUCGUAAGGAAGACCAGUGGCGAAGGCGGGUCUCUGGACAGUUCCUGACACUCAACUACGAAAGCGUGGGGAGCAAACAGG